Molecule: ribosomal RNA, 70 nt
Filed under: Aromatoleum tolulyticum
Lineage: Bacteria; Pseudomonadati; Pseudomonadota; Betaproteobacteria; Rhodocyclales; Rhodocyclaceae
Description: Azoarcus tolulyticus 16S rRNA. Bacterial SSU
Rfam family: Bacterial small subunit ribosomal RNA
Source: RNAcentral
UUGAACUUAAGAGUUUGAUCCUGGCUCAGAUUGAACGCUGGCGGCAUGCUUUACACAUGCAAGUCGAACG